AUCCAGGUGCAUGGGCAUGACGUCUACCAGUGAAGGGUUUCCUGAGGUGACGUUUUUGCUAGUUGAAAACUACAACUACUGACCGCUUGUGUUGGCCUUCGGGUCGGCACGGAAUAUUUGGAACACAACUGGU
Molecule: small nuclear RNA, 133 nt
Filed under: Neofusicoccum parvum UCRNP2
Lineage: Eukaryota; Fungi; Ascomycota; Dothideomycetes; Botryosphaeriales; Botryosphaeriaceae
Description: U4 spliceosomal RNA
Rfam family: U4 spliceosomal RNA
About the family: U4 small nuclear RNA (U4 snRNA) is a component of the major U2-dependent spliceosome.
Source: Rfam by way of RNAcentral